GAUAGUGUUGUGGUCCUUCGGGAA
RNAcentral lists this non-coding RNA (24 nucleotides) under Arabidopsis thaliana (thale cress). The record is from RNAcentral. Lineage: Eukaryota; Viridiplantae; Streptophyta; Magnoliopsida; Brassicales; Brassicaceae.